GCGAGAAAACUUUGCAAUGUGCGAAAGCACGACAAGGUUAAUCCGAGUGGUUUCUGCUAAAGAAACCUUUUGUCAGUCCUAGAAACACUAACGAAUAAGGGGUGGGCAAGUUCUGGUGU
RNAcentral lists this ribosomal RNA (119 nucleotides) under uncultured archaeon. RNAcentral's name for it is "partial 16S ribosomal RNA". It matches the Rfam family "Archaeal small subunit ribosomal RNA", at positions 339 to 458 of the family's 1478-position model. The record is from RNAcentral.